This 73-nucleotide transfer RNA is filed under the name Callorhinchus milii (elephant shark). RNAcentral's name for it is "tRNA-Thr (CGT) (tRNA-Thr-CGT-6-1)". It matches the Rfam family "tRNA". Rfam says of the family: Transfer RNA (tRNA) molecules are approximately 80 nucleotides in length. Their secondary structure includes four short double-helical elements and three loops (D, anti-codon, and T loops). Further hydrogen bonds mediate the characteristic L-shaped molecular structure. tRNAs have two regions of fundamental functional importance: the anti-codon, which is responsible for specific mRNA codon recognition, and the 3' end, to which the tRNAs corresponding amino acid is attached (by aminoacyl-tRNA synthetases). tRNAs cope with the degeneracy of the genetic code in two manners: having more than one tRNA (with a specific anti-codon) for a particular amino acid; and 'wobble' base-pairing, i.e. permitting non-standard base-pairing at the 3rd anti-codon position. The record is from Rfam by way of RNAcentral. Lineage: Eukaryota; Metazoa; Chordata; Chondrichthyes; Chimaeriformes; Callorhinchidae.
AGUCCUGUAGCUCAGUGGUUAGAGCACUCGCCUCGUAAGCGAGAGGACCUGGGUUCGAUUCCCGGCAGGGCGA